AAAUUUAUAUUAUUUAAAUUUAAAUAACACUGAUAAUUAGGUUAUAUAUAAUAUAUGGUUACGAUUAGAUUUAUAUUUCCUCUUAAAUAUGUUUCAUUAUACAGUAAGAGGAGCUGCAGGGUUUCUCUGUAAUCCGUCGCAGUCUGAAAGCUGUUCAUAAGCUGUGUCCCAAACUGAAGUGUGUGGACUCCGAAGUGCGGAUGUGAAGUGCGAUUGCGUCACAGCGUCACGACGUAAGCUGUCCCAAAGUCAGAAUGCGCACUUCGAAGACCGCAUUUGAAGUGCGAAUGCGUCACCGCGGCGCGACGAAGGCUGACAAAUUUCGAAAGCGACUUCAAAUGCGGCCUUCAUUUCCCAUGAAAAUGAAGUGUACAUCUUAUGGACACUUCGCACCCUUCCAUAUCCCAGAAUCACUUGCGUGCAUAUGACGAAUGUGUUUAUAUUCAGAGGCAGGUGAGAGUUCUGUGGAGGACUUCACAUUGAAAUGCAUGGUUUAUUUGUGAAGUGUCCUGAGACAGGUGAGGGAGUGAGUGGACAGGGAGGACAUCAAACUCAAACAAAUACAUUCUUCAUUAGCCAAGAGAAAACAGUGGGGAAAAAUGAGUACAUUACAGUUUUUCCAAUAUAUUUUUUAAAUGUCAUAUUGUCAAUGAAACAACCUAAUUUCUGUAGUUUAUUUUUGUUACGCAAGUUAAAAAUGAAAGCAUAAAUUGUAUACAUUAUUCAUUUUGUGUGUGUAAUUUCACUUCUCAGUAGAUCCAGCAGCACUGUCAGGGUCUCCCUGCUCAGAACAAACCAUUAAACACCUGUCCAGCGCUGCCACAUUCAGCUCUAUCCUGCACAGGGGUCUGGUCUGAUUUAGGGAAAGAAGGAAAAGAGAAAUUGUUUAGAGCUAUGACAACGUAAUUAGUACAAGAAAUAUUGACAUACUUUAGUAAACUACUUUUAGUAACUACUAAUACCAGACUGGGGAAAAACUACUACUCAUAAUAUUUAAAACCUUAGCUGAAGGGAUAGUUUACCCAAAAAUAUAAAUUACAAACCUGGAGCAACUGAAGGGUGAGUAAAUGAUUACAGGAUUUUCAUUUUUGGCUAAACUAUCCUUUAAGUAAAAGUAUUAUCUUGCAUACUCUAAUAUACUUAAGGUACUGAGAGUAAAAGUAAAGGUAUGUGCAGUAUUGCCUUGAAAAAAAGAAUUCAUCAGGAUGGUUUUACAUUAAUAAUACUGCUGCACUUCUGUGUAUGUUGCAGUUUACUUCUAAAUAUGUUCAAGGUUAUUAAAUUUAAAGCUGCUGGACAUUAAGCUGUACUAUGCUCUAUUUUUUUAAAUACAGUUUUAUUUUUAUGGUUAACUGCCUAAAAAAAUAUGGGUUGUAAACCUGUCUACAUAUGGUCAAGACAAUAAACUACAUAAAAUCGCACCUUUGUAAGAUAUC
Molecule: long non-coding RNA, 1436 nt
Organism: Cyprinus carpio (common carp)
Lineage: Eukaryota; Metazoa; Chordata; Actinopteri; Cypriniformes; Cyprinidae
Source: Ensembl